RNAcentral lists this small RNA (408 nucleotides) under Malus domestica (apple). RNAcentral's name for it is "sRNA MD05G0084800". The record is from RNAcentral. Lineage: Eukaryota; Viridiplantae; Streptophyta; Magnoliopsida; Rosales; Rosaceae.
CUCCCCCAUUUCUUCUUGGCAUUCAAAACCUUUCAUUUUUCUUUCUAAUUUCGCAUCGCAGCUCCAUCUCUGUCUUUGCCAGUAUGCAAAACCCACAUAUCCGACCCCAAACUUAAUUUUGAGCCGUCUUCAUCUCUGUCAAAAUCGCAGAAGAUCACCGAUUCUCUCUCCCAAAAUUUCCCAAUAAAGAUGAGCAAGGGACCUGGACUUUUAACCAUCGGCAAAAAAGCAAGAUCUUCUGACGAAUGACUACAGCUCCGAUCGGAAAUUCACCGUCUCGAUUGUGUCAGUUUGGAGUUGUUACUAUGUAUCAUCUCUUUUCUUUGUUUCAUAUUAUUCUAGACUUCGAUAUUUAUGUGCAUGCAUCUAAUAUUGACAUGGAUCCAAGCACAAAUCUCAGAAAAAAGA